AUGUUGAGGUUGUAUGGCAUCCUUGAAGACGCUACUGGUGGAAUUAAUCACUUCUCCAUAUACCAGAGCACUGACAUCCUGAGUUUGUUACAUCAAAGGAUAUUGACUGAGAAGACAAAUAAUCAAAUGACCCGUAACGCAGGGAAUGAAAGAAUACUCAGGAAAAACAGAAAUUACCUGCAGGAGAUUUACAGCUGUUCAGGGUGCAAGAUGACCUCCUCUUACUGAACACCAUAAAAUGUAAGAAGAAUAAUAACUUGGAAUUGUGGAUAAUAAUAGAACAGAGAACAGAAUUUCAAUCUGGUAUGACUGCAGGUCAUUAUUAAAAGGACUUCUGCUUUACUGUGUAAAUGUAGUUGCUUAUUUUCUUUUCAUAAAGCUGCUCCUCGCUUAGCAUGCAUGAUACAGGCCAACGAAAACAUGGAUUUCUCACUUGUUGAGAAUAUGCAUAAAGAUUUUUUCAUUCCGUAGUUAAUUACUAUGCAUAACAUUUUGAAUACACUUUCUGUGCUGGGAGGUCAGUCAAUAUAUUUUACAUUAGUAAACAGAUUGGAAAACUCACUGUAGUUUAGAAUGUAUGCAGAAACAUGGACUGUAAUUCAGAGCAAGAACUGGAAGUUUUUGUUUGAUUUGGAUCUUCUAUGGCACAUGAAUUAUUCAGUGCUCUUGUGUCAAUGCUGAAUAUUUUUUUUUCCUGGAUAUAUCUCACUAACAACAUGAGUUGUUUGGCAUGAGAACAUUAGAUGAUGAACAGCAUCCGUGCUCUGUAGAUUGAAUGGCUUCAAACAAGAGUUUCAAAUGAACAGUUGAAUUAUCAAAAGACUAAAUAAUCUCCAUUUGCUGUUAUUUUUAAGUAAGAAGUGCCAGAAUCUGCGUCCUCAUCAGGAUCUUCUGCUCCAGAACAUCCUAUAAAGAUCUCAUGAAAUAGCAAACAUCUAACAGAGUGUUUUUCUUAGAAAACCUGUUCAUAUAUAAAGUGAGAACUCAGGUCGUGUUGUCCUCAAUCCCUUCAGUAGCAGGGAAAAAUAUUGUGAGAAACAGGAAAAGCCACCUGAGCAACA
This 1061-nucleotide long non-coding RNA is filed under the name Phasianus colchicus (ring-necked pheasant). Its description in RNAcentral is "lncRNA (ENSPCLG00000019926.1)". The record is from RNAcentral. Lineage: Eukaryota; Metazoa; Chordata; Aves; Galliformes; Phasianidae.